This 29-nucleotide non-coding RNA is filed under the name Mus musculus (house mouse). The record is from RNAcentral. Lineage: Eukaryota; Metazoa; Chordata; Mammalia; Rodentia; Muridae.
CCCAGGGAUGUCUCCAUUUGAACCACUGG